UACAGAGGGUGCGAGCGUUAAUCGGAAUUACUGGGCGUAAAGCGCACGUAGUCGGCUUUGCAAGUCGGUUGUGAAAUCCCCGGGCUCAGCCUGGGAACUGCAUCCGAGACUGCAUUGCUAGAGUAUGGGAGAGGAAAGCGGAAUUUCUGGUGUAGCAGUGAAAUGCGUAGAUAUCAGAAGGAACAUCAGUGGCGAAGGCGGCUUUCUGGACCAAUACUGACGAUCAGGUGCGAAAGCGUGGGGAGCAAACAGG
RNAcentral lists this ribosomal RNA (253 nucleotides) under uncultured bacterium. RNAcentral's name for it is "partial 16S ribosomal RNA". It matches the Rfam family "Bacterial small subunit ribosomal RNA", at positions 524 to 776 of the family's 1533-position model. The record is from RNAcentral.